AUCAGUACUCAAAUAGCUAACCUGUUCCUGCCUUCGGAAAAUGAGCAUUUGAAUUAGCUUCACUGAACCAAACUCACUGGUGGCACAGACCAAUCUCAGAGAUGUGCAUUGAAGAUGAUUAAUAGAGCCUGAUUCUAGUCUGUAUUGAGCUUCUACAAAUGGGGCAUGAUUCUAAGUCUUCUCCACAGUCACAACAAGUCUGAUGCCCACAACCGAAUGCCAUGUCCUUUCUAUUAGUAAGACAAAUGGGACAAACCUGAUUAUCAUAAGUAGAACUUGAAUAUGGAGCCGUGUUGACUGAGGUAUCAUAUCCAGAAACUGGUGAGUCAUAUCCAGAGCAAGAAGGUACUGAUGAAUCAUAUCCAGAAUAUGAAGGUACACGUUGCUGAAAGCUGCUUGAGCGUGAAGGUUUUCCUCUGUUGGUGAAAGAAGAUGGUCCAUGAAGAGGUGG
Molecule: unclassified non-coding RNA, 451 nt
Filed under: Hevea brasiliensis (rubber tree)
Lineage: Eukaryota; Viridiplantae; Streptophyta; Magnoliopsida; Malpighiales; Euphorbiaceae
Source: RNAcentral